CCACAGGCUCUCCUCACCUCUCCUCUCCUCUCUUCUCUCCUCGGUUUAGGAACUUUCUCUUUAAGUAGUGAAUAUAUUAGUAUUCUUGUACAGAAACUGGAGUGGGAAACAGAGCGGGGUAGAGAGAGAAAGAGGGUUUUAUGGGUAUUUGUCUUCUUGCUGAAGUUGCAGGUUUUUGGAGUAUCGUGUCGGGGGUUGUCCCAUUUCCAUAUAGAAGUGUGAAUUUUUAGUUUUAGUGGGUUUGUUUCAAUUUUUUUUUUUUUUGGAAAUAAUUGAAUAUAAUUAUAUAAAAAUAUUCUUGUUUCCUUUUGUGUGAGAUAGAGAAUGCUAAGAGAUCUCUGGGGAUACUCCUUUUCUUGUGUAUGUUAUAUAUAUAGGUAGUUCAGUUCUUGUAUGUGUACAUAUUAUAUACAUACUCUGUAUUGAGUUAAUCAAGAGAGCUUGGGUUAGGAGAUCCCAAAUCAUCAAGAACUGUAAUGGAGGUCAACUUGAGCUUUUCACACGACAUGGAUGAUGAAUAUGAGAAACUCUUUAGAAGAUUGAAUCCUCCCAGGGUUGUAAUUGAUAAUGAAUCCUGCAAGAAUGCAACUGUUGUAAGAGUGGACAGUGCAAACAGACAUGGAACACUACUUGAAGUUGUACAAGUCCUUACUGAUCUUAACCUUAUGAUAACUAAAGCUUACAUAUCCUCUGAUGGUGGUUGGUUUAUGGAUGUUUUUAAUGUUAAGGAUCAAGAUGGAAACAAGAUUACUGAUGAAGCAAUUCUAGGUUAUAUUCGGAAGUCUCUGGGGCCAGAAUCAUGCUUUGUAUCUUCUAUGAGAUCUGUUGGGGUUAAACCAUCUAUGGACCACACUGCAAUUGAGCUAACAGGAAGUGACAGACCAGGCCUGCUAUCUGAAGUGUUUGCUGUACUCACCCACCUAAAAUGCAAUGUGGUCAAUGCAGAGGUCUGGACACACAAUACUCGGGCUGCAGCUGUGAUGCAAGUAACUGAGGAGGAAACUGGGUCUGCAAUUACUGACCCAGAGAGGCUAUCCAAGAUUAAGGAACUUCUCUGUAAUGUACUCAAGGGUAGUAACAAAUCCAAGAGAGCUAAGACUGGGGUGUCUCUUGGGGUCACCCACACUGAGAGAAGGCUUCACCAAAUGAUGUUUGCUGAUAGGGAUUAUGAACGUGCUGACGAUGAGGUCUUGAAUGAGAAGGAAAGGCCUAAUGUGAGUGUGGUUAAUUGGUAUGACAAGGACUACUCAGUGGUAACCAUAAGAAGCAAAGAUAGGCCAAAACUUCUUUUUGAUACUGUCUGCACGUUGACAGACAUGGAGUAUGUAGUUUUUCAUGCCAAUAUAGAUGCUGAGGGACCAGAGGCUUAUCAGGAAUAUUAUAUCAGACAUAUAGAUGGAUCCCCUGUGAAAUCGGAUGCUGAAAGACAGAGAGUGAUACAAUGUCUUGAAGCAGCUAUUGAGAGAAGAGUAUCUGAAGUGAGUGCUUAUCAUAUAUUUUUUUUGAACAAGUGAUUGUGUGCUUAGAGCGUCAUUUGGAUAAUAUCUUGUGGUUUAGAAUGUGAAAUUAUAAUAAAGAGGUGAUUUUUAUCUUUUACCAAGUAGUGAUGUUAAAACAAUGGUUUGCUUAAACUCUUCUGCUGAGAACUACGGCUAACUUAUGGUCCAAUUAUUUAUAAGAUUGUGUUUAGUUAGAUCUGAUUAUCUGUGUGGUAGAUGACAUUCCUGGAUUCUUUUGGUAAAAUGAAUUUUUCACUUGUGCAUAUGGGGUUCCAUUAGAUGAGGUUUUCAUAAUCAAUAAUACACUCACUAACAGCAGCAGAAAACAAAUGCUCAAGACAAAAGUUUAUGGAAUGUCUUUUGUUCUUUACCUGUUCCUUAAGUGUGUCCUUUAUGCAGAUGAUUAUUUUUUUUCCCCCUACUUUCUGAUUCAGGGUUUGAAGCUAGAACUAUGCACUACGGACAGAAUCGGGCUGCUAUCUGAUGUUACUCGCAUCUUUCGAGAAAAUAGCCUUACUGUCACCAGAGCAGAAGUGACAACUAGAGAUGGCAAAGCUAUCAAUACAUUUUAUGUUGGUGAUGCAUCAGGGUAUCCAGUUGAUGCAAAAACCAUAGAUUCCAUCAGGCAGGUAAUUGGCCAGACCAUACUUAAGGUAAAGGGCAGUCCUGAGGAGCUAAAACCAGUAUCUCAGGAAUCACCCACUAGGUUUCUCUUUGGUGGUCUCUUCAAGUCAAGAUCUUUUGUUAACUUUGGAUUGGUUAGGUCCUAUUCUUGAAAAGAUUUUAGCUCACUCAAAUUCUACUACAAAAACAAAUCUUAGUCCUUUUAGCAUAUGUGUGACUUAGAGUUCAGGAACAGAGCCAUUUGUCAAAUGAGGUAGAGAAUGCCAUAGAAGAAGUGCCUGUAUAUUCAGCAAGUUUCAUUUGUUACCAUUGGAUCCAAUCUAAUGUUGGAGCCAUGAAAGCAAUAGAAGUUACGUAUUGAACUUUUUCAGUUUCAACUUUGUACAUAACUAAUCUUAUGCUUCCAGCUAACCCUUUAACAUCCAUCUUUUUUCUUUUUUCAAUUUUAUUUUUACAUGGUUUUU
This 2587-nucleotide unclassified non-coding RNA is filed under the name Hevea brasiliensis (rubber tree). The record is from RNAcentral. Lineage: Eukaryota; Viridiplantae; Streptophyta; Magnoliopsida; Malpighiales; Euphorbiaceae.